Molecule: ribosomal RNA, 442 nt
Filed under: uncultured bacterium
Lineage: Bacteria
Description: bacterial SSU rRNA
Rfam family: Bacterial small subunit ribosomal RNA
Source: RNAcentral
AACGAACGCUGGCGGCAGGCCUAACACAUGCAAGUCGAACGCCCCGCAAGGGGAGUGGCAGACGGGUGAGUAACACGUGGGAACAUACCCUUCGGUUCGGAAUAACUCAGGGAAACUUGAGCUAAGACCGGAUACGUCCGCGAGGAGAAAGAUUCAUCGCCGGAGGAUUGGCCCGCGUCCGAUUAGCUAGUUGGUGAGGUAACGGCUCACCAAGGCGACGAUCGGUAGCUGGUCUGAGAGGAUGAUCAGCCACAUUGGGACUGAGACACGGCCCAAACUCCUACGGGAGGCAGCAGUGGGGAAUAUUGGACAAUGGGCGAAAGCCUGAUCCAGCCAUGCCGCGUGAGUGAUGAAGGCCCUAGGGUUGUAAAGCUCUUUCGUCAGGGACGAUAAUGACGGUACCUGAAGAAGAAGCCCCGGCUAACUUCGUGCCAGCAGCCGC